RNAcentral lists this long non-coding RNA (2165 nucleotides) under Panax ginseng (ginseng). Its description in RNAcentral is "long non-coding RNA (PGIN_LNC007167)". The record is from RNAcentral. Lineage: Eukaryota; Viridiplantae; Streptophyta; Magnoliopsida; Apiales; Araliaceae.
GAAUAUAUCCUCUAGGGACCCGGAGGCUCAACUACAUAACAUCUAUUGAAAAACGGGUAAAGUGCUUACGGUAUUUUUGGAUAUUAAGUUGUUUUUUUUUUAUCGACGUAAAUUGAGUUUUUAUUUGUUCAAAAAUUUGGAUAUUGAGCCUUCUUUCUAUGUGUGGAUUCGAAACUCAAAACCCUCAAUUUAAAAUCUUGGUGAUAAAACCGCCUGAGCACCAUAGGCCUAGUUGCUUAAUUUACUCAAGAAUUAAGUUUUAUACUAAAACAAUUCAUUCUCUAUUUCUCUUUUUGGUUCUAAAUCUAUCUGUUUGCUUUUAGAUCCUCAAACCCUGGGAUUGUUCUGUUCAUCUAUGUUAAACAGAUAUAGAAGCAAAACUUACCAUUAACCAAAUACAGUAAUAUAAACAAACAUAUAGAUCACCCCCCACGCACCAUCCACCACCCACCACCCACCACGCACCACCCACCACCCAUAGAUCAAACAGAUAUUGAAGCAGAACUUACCCCCUAAAAAAACCCUGCAAACUCUCUCUCUCUCCCCCCAUCGAUCUCAGGCGACCCUCUCCAUCUCCAUCUUGUCUUCGACGACUGCCCUCUUCGGCGGCAUUAAUCUUCUCUCUCCUUCAUAUCCCUCUGGUCACCUUUCACUCCCUAGUUGUUGAUGUUGUUGCUGCUGUUGAAGGCGUUGAGGCGCACGCGACGUGUUUUUGGCGGUGGAAGCGUGGUAGCUCCCAGUAACAGCUUGGUCCCCUACUAGUCCCGUAUCACUGAUUAGCUGAUCUAGCUUAAGGUUAACCCUAAUUUUUGCCUUACAAUUUAGCCCUAAAUUAAUUUUCCCUAAUGCAAUGUAAAUGAUUUGAUUUAACUUGUUCUUGUGCUUGAGUUGGGCUAAAAUUUUUGUUUGAUUUGAGGUGUAUUAAUUAAUGUAACUACAAAGUUGGGUUUGAUUAAUUAAUUUGGGCAAUUGCAACAUGUUUAAAUUUGAUAUAUUGCAGCAUAUUCAUAAUCUAAGGUUUGAUUUGUUAAAUAGCAUGAUAGAUUUGAUAAUCUGAUAUAAAUUUGGUUUUUACAUAAUUAUAUCUGUUUUAUGUUUGAGGAUUUGAUAAAUUGUAUCCGAUAAUGAUGAAAAUGAUGAACCUGAUAUAUGCAUUAUUCUUGAAGAAAUGUUGUUUAGAGCCACCACAUGUUUAGGUUUUUAGAACUUCACCUAGAAAAUCAAAUGUAAAGAUUUUUAGUUUGAUUAAUUAAUUUCGAGACAAUUUCAUUGUGCUGAAAAUUAUGUACUUAAAAGUUUUAAAUCAUUUAAAGAGGUUAUUUUUGGAAGCCAAAUCAAUUCAGUUUUAUUCUUUAUUUUAAAAAGAUGAAAAUUGAAAUUCAAAAGCCGGGAAACCAUUUUUAUAAACAAAAUCAAAUCAUGAAAAUACUCGGCCUUGAUUUACAAAGUCAACUAUCUUUCUUUGAGUUGAUUCCUUAUUUCAUACUGCUGAUUCUUCUAAGCCCUUAUCCCUUGAUUCAAGUAAUUAAGCUUUCAAAUUCAAAUCCCUUCCUUUCUAGUAUAUUCAUAACUUCCUUUGGAAUUCUGAAAUUGAGGAGUUUAUUUUCCGUCGUAGCAUCUUUAUUCUAUAUAAAUCAUUCUCGGGUAAAGCUUCAAGGGAACGAAUUGAGAAAUCAUUAAUAAUAACCUUAUUGAAAAACUCUUAGCAAUCUAAUUUUGCCUUGCUAUUAAUUUCUUAUUACUAUAAAUUCAUAGAUAUUGUAAUACUAUUUGUUCUUAAUCAAAAAUUUGUAUACAAGCCAACUGUGGUUUGUGAUUGAUGCAGUGGUGGAUACGUUAGUGCAAAGCAAGCUCUGAAGGUUGCAGUGAUGUGAGAGUUGUAGUGGUUCAAAAGGUUGCUGCUGUGCAACAAGGGGUAGUGGUGUCUAUCAUUAUCUGAGUUGUUUUGUACAUGGAGUAAAUUCUGUAAUUGUUUGAAUAUUUCAGUUAAUAAAAGAGUCUCCAAUACUGAUUAGUAGUGGACGUGAAUUAAGUCGUUAGAUUAGAGGUUAAGGGUCGAACCAUGUAAAAAUAUUGAAGUUAUUCAUUGUUUAUUAUGUUUGCAUUGUUUAAAUUUUGCACUUAAACACAAGUUAUAUUCAGCACUAAUAAAAACUAAGAAGUUA